AGUGGGGAUUACCUUGGCUUCGUCGGAGAUGGAAUGAGUGAGUACGCAAUGGAUAUCUCAAAAACUCAUGGAUGGAUUCAGACGAAACUUGGUGGACAGGUCGGGUGUUACAAGGAAGAAUCGAUUCAAUUUUGGUGAAGAUCCGCAUCCGAUAAUUUAAGGUGUACAUGAUCCUAUUGCUUGUAGGACUCGGAUGUAUUCUUCUUUUUUAAAGAAAAGACAUCACCUUCAUAUCAGCAACAUGAACAUUGGGAGAUGUCCACAUUCUUUUACAUGUACCAGAAGGACAUCAAGCGAGACCAGUUUCAAAUCUUGUGCAGGCACGGCAACUUGCUAGUACACCACAACCUGUUGAAUUUCAUUUACGCUUGCGCAGAGUGAGAAACUCUCCCGUAAAACUCACUGCCGUGGAUCCCAAGGCCUCGUGGAAUGUAAGGUCGCACUCUUUCGUCGUUUUACAGUCAGUGGAGGAGCGAAGCACAAAGACUCGAUCACACCGUGGGUCAUGGAUUUUUGAACAGAGGGUCAUCGUGAAUCGGAAGGAAAAAAACAAAAAAUGCUCAUGUGAUGAUACCUAGCAGGUGUCUGCAACCUUUGUCUCGUCUUCCGUGAUGUAAUUUUCUCAUUAAAUCAUCUCUUCCAGCUCCUACUUUCCUCGCUUUUAUCAGUUACCUCGUCUUCCUAUUUUGUUUUUUAAUCCUCCUUUUUCUUUCAUUCUCCUUUCUCCAAGGGUCCCUUCUCUUCCCUCAAGCAAUCAUUUACUCUGCCAUCCACUUGCCAGGUGCAUUCACUCGGUUGUUCCUCCAUACGAAGAUCCCUUGUGACUGAUACAAAAAAAAAAAAAAUCUAUUUUUUGCCGGAAACAGGUUGUUCUUUAAACCCAAGACCAAAGCUUUGGAUUCCCAGAUCGUGUUUGUUUUUCUCCUCACAUCCUCAGAAGUCUUCAUCUCCCUCCCGCUUGAACCAUCUUGGCAAUCGCCGGGUGUUGUGCCGCGGACCUCGGAACGAAAUGUGCGCAUCUCUGUGAUUUGGCAGGGGUUCACCGCCUUGGCCCAUUCAUCGAUAAAUAGAUAAUGGCAUGGAAUGCAGUGGUACAGCUUGGACCUGACAUUUCCAUUUUGCUUCUGAUUUAAGCUGAGGCCAAACAGACUCAGCACGUGACCCCGG
RNAcentral lists this long non-coding RNA (1167 nucleotides) under Eptatretus burgeri (inshore hagfish). Its description in RNAcentral is "lncRNA (ENSEBUG00000017334.1)". The record is from RNAcentral. Lineage: Eukaryota; Metazoa; Chordata; Myxini; Myxiniformes; Myxinidae.